Molecule: unclassified non-coding RNA, 815 nt
Filed under: Hevea brasiliensis (rubber tree)
Lineage: Eukaryota; Viridiplantae; Streptophyta; Magnoliopsida; Malpighiales; Euphorbiaceae
Source: RNAcentral
AAAUAGGUUCUUUUAUUUGGUACAAAAGCACAAGAGAGUCAUGAAAAUAGUAACUGGUACAUCCUUAUUACAUUGUACUGAAUAUAACAAAUACAUCUUUUCAAACAAACACAACACAGUCCAAGAAUUUUUUGACUCCCUUUGAUCACAAAUCUAAAAGACACACACAGAGAUGGUGCAGAUAACUUCAUGGUUCUCAAAAUUAGAUCGAUAAUUCAGUUUUUGAUACGAGAAUGCCAUCACUAUCUGCAUAUAACCACUCUCCUUCGCGAAUCAUCAUGCCUCCAAUGUAAAUAGGAACAUGCUUUUCGCCCUGUCCUUUCUUGUUUGAUUUCUGAGGGUGUGAUGCCAAUGCACGAACACCUAUAUCACAACCGUUAAUCUCAUCUACAUCACGAAUACAUCCAUUAACUAAAAUACCUGCCCAGCCCAUAUUCUGGGCUAGUUGUCCCAAGUUUCCUCCGACUAAAGCACAUCGCAUACUCCCUCCACCAUCUAUCACAAGAACUCUUCCUUCACCUCUAGUUUCGAGUAGCUCCCUAACCAACACAUUGUCCUCGAAUACCUUAAGGGUGGUAAUGGGGCCUGAAAAAGCGCGGCAUUGACCAUAUAUCUUGAAAACUGGUGGCAAAACUCGUAGAUCACCAUUUGACAGAUGCCCUGCAUUCACAUCACACACUUCUGCUGUUGCCAAGGACGCCAUGUAAAACUUUUUUUAUGAACUUUUAAUGGAAUUCAAGAAUGAAGCUUUUGAUGUUGAAAUUGUAAAUUUCGAAGUAGAUCUAAUUUAUAUAUUAUAUAUAAAUAAAAUCCAG